GUGAGUAGUGGCGCGCGGCGGC
Molecule: microRNA, 22 nt
Filed under: Homo sapiens (human)
Lineage: Eukaryota; Metazoa; Chordata; Mammalia; Primates; Hominidae
Description: hsa-miR-6869-5p
Source: miRBase by way of RNAcentral